GUGGCCGGUCACCAGCAAGAGAAAGAUUUCUGAGGUGGCCAUCCUGAAGGAAGAAAGGAUUUGGGAUGAAAAAGACCUAAUGGCCCCUUUUCAAAGAGAAGGUAACCUUUGAGACCAGGAAAGGGUCACCGGGUCCCAUCCCUGACCUGGAGCUUGUUAAUGAACCAAGACCUGGCAGGGCAGGCCAGUGGGUAGAGACACGAUGCUCACGGGUGCCUUUUCUCCCUUGCUCCCCUCCAAUCCUCAAAGGGCUCAAAGUCCAUUUUGUGACCAUAUGUUUAAAAAGUCUGUAUCCUCUUCUGGAGGCACGGUGUCCAAAACACUUAAUUCAGUAUUUUCAAUUAUCCAAUGACGUGGGUCAAAACUAAAUCGCUGGAUGUAAACAAAAGAACAAGGAAGCAGAAGAAAAGCUGUGGGUUGCAUUUAUUUUAUCAGCUAUAUACCUGGUGGACAACUAUCUGACUCUCUGGGUUUUCUGUACUUACUAAGCAAAACUAGUUCAAUGGUUUGCAUUUGUGUCUAAUCUCCACUGAAAAGUUUUUACGUGUCUAGGAGCACCCUAUAAAACACGUAUUGGGUUGCCAAAAUAUACCAACGUUGGGCUCGCUGGCUGACUAAAAAAAAAAAAAAAAAAAAAAAUCCUCAGGUAAAAUGCUGCUACUUUCUUA
This is a long non-coding RNA of Leopardus geoffroyi (Geoffroy's cat), 668 nucleotides long. RefSeq lists it as uncharacterized. The record is from RefSeq and is a predicted model, not a curated record. The transcript has 2 exons. NCBI's taxonomy places the organism in Eukaryota, Metazoa, Chordata, Mammalia, Carnivora, Felidae.